This 253-nucleotide ribosomal RNA is filed under the name uncultured bacterium. Its description in RNAcentral is "partial 16S ribosomal RNA". It matches the Rfam family "Bacterial small subunit ribosomal RNA", at positions 524 to 776 of the family's 1533-position model. The record is from RNAcentral.
UACAGAGGUCCCAAGCGUUGUUCGGAUUCACUGGGCGUAAAGGGUGCGUAGAUGGCGAGGUAAGUCGGAUGUGAAAGCUCGGAGCUCAACUCCGAAAUGGCAUUGGAAACUACCUUGCUCGAGGGUUGGAGGGGGGACUGGAAUUCUCGGUGUAGCAGUGAAAUGCGUAGAUAUCGAGAGGAACACCAGUGGCGAAGGCGAGUCCCUGGACAACUCCUGACACUGAGGCACGAAAGCUAGGGGAGCAAACAGG